Molecule: ribosomal RNA, 564 nt
Filed under: Aspergillus fumigatus
Lineage: Eukaryota; Fungi; Ascomycota; Eurotiomycetes; Eurotiales; Aspergillaceae
Description: eukaryotic LSU rRNA
Rfam family: 5.8S ribosomal RNA (bases 199-352)
Source: RNAcentral
GGAAGGAUCAUUACCGAGUGAGGGCCCUCUGGGUCCAACCUCCCACCCGUGUCUAUCGUACCUUGUUGCUUCGGCGGGCCCGCCGUUUCGACGGCCGCCGGGGAGGCCUUGCGCCCCCGGGCCCGCGCCCGCCGAAGACCCCAACAUGAACGCUGUUCUGAAAGUAUGCAGUCUGAGUUGAUUAUCGUAAUCAGUUAAAACUUUCAACAACGGAUCUCUUGGUUCCGGCAUCGAUGAAGAACGCAGCGAAAUGCGAUAAGUAAUGUGAAUUGCAGAAUUCAGUGAAUCAUCGAGUCUUUGAACGCACAUUGCGCCCCCUGGUAUUCCGGGGGGCAUGCCUGUCCGAGCGUCAUUGCUGCCCUCAAGCACGGCUUGUGUGUUGGGCCCCCGUCCCCCUCUCCCGGGGGACGGGCCCGAAAGGCAGCGGCGGCACCGCGUCCGGUCCUCGAGCGUAUGGGGCUUUGUCACCUGCUCUGUAGGCCCGGCCGGCGCCAGCCGACACCCAACUUUAUUUUUCUAAGGUUGACCUCGGAUCAGGUAGGGAUACCCGCUGAACUUAAGCAU